AAGGCUUUAGUUAAUAUAAUAAUAAUAGUUUGUCAGGCUAUAGUAAUCUUUAAAGUUAAGCUGAUGCCUCAAU
Molecule: transfer RNA, 73 nt
Filed under: Whitmania laevis
Lineage: Eukaryota; Metazoa; Annelida; Clitellata; Hirudinida; Haemopidae
Description: tRNA-Asp
Source: RNAcentral